This 660-nucleotide ribosomal RNA is filed under the name uncultured bacterium. RNAcentral describes it as "bacterial SSU rRNA". It matches the Rfam family "Bacterial small subunit ribosomal RNA", at positions 8 to 694 of the family's 1533-position model. The record is from RNAcentral.
AGAGUUUGAUCCUGGCUCAGGACGAACGCUGGCGGUGUGCUUCACACAUGCAAGUCGAACGGAGUAGCAAUACUCUGUGGCGGACGGGUGAGUAACACGUGGGAAUCUACCAUUAGGUGGGGAAUAACAGGCCGAAAGGACUGCUAAUGCCGCAUAUGUAGGCAUCUCGACAGAGAUGUUUAUGAAAGGAGUAAUCCGCCUUUUGAUGAGCCCGCGUCCGAUUAGCUAGUUGGUAGGGUAAAAGCCUACCAAGGCGACGAUCGGUAGGUGGUCUGAGAGGAUGAUCACCCACAAUGGGACUGAGACACGGCCCAUACUCCUACGGGAGGCAGCAGUGGGGAAUUUUACGCAAUGGGGGAAACCCUGACGUAGCGACACCGCGUGAGCGAAGAAGCCCUUUGGGGUGUAAAGCUCUGUCAACAGGAACGAAACAAAUGACGGUACCUGUGGAGGAAGCAUCGGCUAACUACGUGCCAGCAGCCGCGGUAAGACGUAGGAUGCAAGCGUUGUCCGGAUUUAUUGGGCGUAAAGAGUUCGUAGGCGGUUUGUUAAGUCUGAUGUUAAAGACCGGGGCUCAACCUCGGAAAUGCAUUGGAUACUGGCAGACUGGAGUGCAGUAGAGGCUAGUGGAAUUCCCAGUGUAGCGGUGAAAUGCGUAGA